RNAcentral lists this ribosomal RNA (442 nucleotides) under Stainforthia sp. RNAcentral's name for it is "SSU rRNA". It matches the Rfam family "Eukaryotic small subunit ribosomal RNA", at positions 1176 to 1463 of the family's 1831-position model. The record is from RNAcentral. Lineage: Eukaryota; Foraminifera; Rotaliida; Stainforthiidae.
GUGGAGCAUGUGGCUUAAUUUGACUCAACGCGGGAAAUCUUACCGGGUCCGGACACACUGAGGAUUGACAGGCAAUAUUAAUUUCGCCCCGGCGAUUUUAUGUUAAAUAUGCUAGUCCUUUCAUGAUUAUGUGAUAGGUGGUGCAUGGCCGUUCUUAGUUCGUGGAGUGAUCUGUCUGCUUAAUUGCGUUUCACUAAGGGCCUAUAAUUUAACGUGUGUUGCGGCACUUUGACCCCUCUUCGCGGAGCGUGCGUCUUAGCUUGUUUAGCUCACACAAUUAGGUCCUGAAAGCAACGAACGUGACCGCAACCUCUUGUUGCCUUUAUACCAAACACAGUCUGACCUUCUUCACUGAAGGGCUACCGUGAAAAAAGGCUUUUUAAACUAGAGGGACCGCUGUUACUUUCUUAAACCAGAGGAAGGUUGCGGCAAUAACAGGUCU